Molecule: ribosomal RNA, 247 nt
Filed under: uncultured bacterium
Lineage: Bacteria
Description: partial 16S ribosomal RNA
Rfam family: Bacterial small subunit ribosomal RNA
Source: RNAcentral
CCGACCGGCGCACGGGUGAGUAACACGUAUGCAAUCCACCUGUAACAGGGGGAUAACCCGGAGAAAUCCGGACUAAUACCCCAUAAUAUGGGCUCUCCGCAUGGAGGGUCCAUUAAAGAGAGCAAUUUUGGUUACAGACGAGCAUGCGCUCCAUUAGCCAGUUGGCGGGGUAACGGCCCACCAAAGCGACGAUGGAUAGGGGUUCUGAGAGGAAGGUCCCCCACAUUGGAACUGAGACACGGUCCAA